AUGAACGCUAGCGGCAGGCUUAACACAUGCAAGUCGAGGGGCGACACGGGUAGCAAUACCUGGUGGCGACCGGCGCAAGGGUGCGUAACGCGUGAGCAACAUGCCCUAUACAGGGGGAUAAUCCAGGGAAACUUGGUCUAAAUAUCCCAUAGUAUUUAGAGGUGGCAUCACCACUAAAUUAAAGCUUCGGUGGUAUAGGAUUGGCUCGCGUGACAUUAGCUGGAUGGUGGGGUAACGGCUCACCAUGGCGAUGAUGUCUAGGGGUUCUGAGAGGAAGACCCCCCACACUGGGACUGAGACACGGCCCAGACUCCUACGGGAGGCAGCAGUGAGGAAUAUUGGACAAUGGAUGGAAAUCUGAUCCAGCCAUGCCGCGUGCAGGAAGACGGCCCUAUGGGUUGUAAACUGCUUUUAUAUGGGAGCAAUAAGGUUUACGCGUAGACCGAUGAGAGUACCAUAUGAAUAAGCAUCGGCUAACUCCGUG
RNAcentral lists this ribosomal RNA (484 nucleotides) under uncultured bacterium. RNAcentral's name for it is "bacterial SSU rRNA". It matches the Rfam family "Bacterial small subunit ribosomal RNA", at positions 29 to 507 of the family's 1533-position model. The record is from RNAcentral.